UACAGAGGGUGCAAGCGUUGUCCGGAAUCACUGGGCGUAAAGGGCGCGUAGGUGGCCUGAUAAGUAGGAGGUGAAAUCCCCCGGCUUAACCUGGGAACUGCGUCUGAUACUGGAAGGCUUGAGUUUGGGAGAGGGAUGCAGAAUUCCAGGUGUAGCGGUGAAAUGCGUAGAUAUCAGGAGGAAUACCGGUGGCGAAGGCGGCCUUCUGGACGGUGACUGACGCUGAGACGCGAAAGCGUGGGGAGCAAACAGG
This 253-nucleotide ribosomal RNA is filed under the name uncultured bacterium. Its description in RNAcentral is "partial 16S ribosomal RNA". It matches the Rfam family "Bacterial small subunit ribosomal RNA", at positions 524 to 776 of the family's 1533-position model. The record is from RNAcentral.